This 253-nucleotide ribosomal RNA is filed under the name uncultured bacterium. RNAcentral describes it as "partial 16S ribosomal RNA". It matches the Rfam family "Bacterial small subunit ribosomal RNA", at positions 524 to 776 of the family's 1533-position model. The record is from RNAcentral.
CACGUAGGGCGCAAGCGUUGUCCGGAAUUAUUGGGCGUAAAGAGCUCGUAGGCGGUCUGUUACGUCUGCUGUGAAAACCCGGGGCUUAACCCUGGGCUUGCAGUGGAUACGGGCAGACUAGAGGCAGGUAGGGGAGAAUGGAAUUCCCGGUGUAGCGGUGAAAUGCGCAGAUAUCGGGAGGAACACCGGUGGCGAAGGCGGGUUGCUGGGCCAACACUGACGCUGAGGCGCGAAAGCCAGGGGAGCAAACGGG